AACUGUCAGAGAUAUAAAUAAGCAAAAAACAAUAGUAAGGCAAAAUAUGAAGGGAGCAGUUGAAGAGAAUUAUUAUAGUACUAUGACACUGUGAUAGCUGUGAUGUCAGGAACACACAUCAGAAAUAGGAAAACAAUAUUUAGAAUUAGAGACAUUGUGUGCUGGCAGCAGCCAACCUGCCUUUAUGUUUAGCUAAUAAACUGAUUACACCGGUUUCAGGCCUGAUGGUAACAUUCAUACAAGAUGAUGAGUAGGAAAGUAGGAAUUGUUUUUAUUAAAAAAGAUUUUCAUUUAAACUGUCUCUGCAAAAUUUUCUUGUUUAUUUAUUUUGUUUAAAUCUUUAAGCAUUUGGAGGUUUUGACUAAAAAGAAAACAGAAAAGCAAAAAGUAAAAAAGAAAACCCAGUACUUUCCUUGAAAGGCUGAGGUUUUCUAGGAUUGUCUUUACCUGACUGAAAUUUUAUCACCGUCUUCAUUUGUUUGUAUGUUACCAGUUCAACACCACUCAUUUCAAGUUGUUAAAUUACACAGCUCUUGUUAUUUAGGUUGUAAAUGCCCUGAAUCAAAGCCUGUGUCAAUGGGGGCUUGAAAAUAUUCCUGGCAUGCACAUUAUAUUGAGAGGCUCCUGGCCGCUCCUUUAACAUAUAUGUCCAUCAUUAUUUGUUCAGCUUCUUCUGGGAUCAGAGUUUAUUAAACAACAGAACAAAAAAGCAGUCAAAACAAAACAAGAAAAUCACAAACCAAGGCCACAUUUCCUUACAACUACUUUCGUCUGUGUCACUCAAGAGUUUCUUAGAGGUACAACAGAGGUUUCUUAAGACACUGGUGCAUCACUGGUAACCUGUGUAUAACAUCUCCCUUGGAUUCAACAGCAGUCCUGCUGUUGUGAUGAUUGCAACACUAGAAUAUAGUUGAACUGCGAUAUGACACUGGUUGUUUUAUUUUUGCUUUUGUUUUCAUCUGCUGAAUGCCUAAAUAUACAGCUUUAAAAAGGCAGAUCUAAAUGAUGCAAAUGGUGCACCUAAUUCUUUUUUUUUUGUUUUGUUUUCUAAUCCAAGCUUAGCUUAGAGGUAUAUCCUUACGAAGCAUUGAUUUAUGCUGGUUGGUGUAUUGGCUCCCCAGCAGCCAGUUGGGGUAGUUCUGUAGACUGAUGAUUUGUUGUAGUUAAAUAACUCCUUUAAUGUACUACUAUGUCAUUCAGGAGAAACCACAGAAAAUUAACCUGCUAAAACUGAAGUCAUUUAUCUCUCAGAGAUUUAGGACCCCAUCUGCAAAAUGUAGACACACUGUUUUUUUUCUACUUUAUUGCCAAAAAAGAAAAGACUCGAAUUUUUAGUGAGAACUUGAAACCUCAGAAGAGACAUAGACAUUUUGCUGCAUUUGAUGAAAGAGCAAAUCAUAUUGUCUGGUGGUUUGUUAGGCUAUCGUAGAAUACUGUGUAUAUGAGACUAAGAUGACAAACAGUUGACUCUACAUGCAAAAUAUUAUUUGAAUUCAUGUCCACAACUAAAACAGAAGGCAAGAUUCCACCAGUAAGAGGGAGAGGAAGCUGGGCUAGGGGCACACGGCAGACAGAUAAAAUUAGUCCAGGUUUUCCAUUUUCUAAUUAUCUCCUAUCAUUCUUUUCCUAUCUGAAAAGUGUUUAGUCGAUACUUAAUGGAAACACUAAAAAAAUAGUAAAAAGUUAGCACAACCUUUUGGUUUUUUUCUUGGAAUGUUUCUUGAUAUAAUUAAUUACAGUUAUAAAAAAUGACUGUAUUUUUCUAUAAGUUUAGAGAUAGGAUGAACAACACAAAUAUGCAUUUUUCAUACGAUAUUUCACUAAAUACUGAGAUUUAAUAAUGUCUGUAUUUAACUCCAACUUCCUAUUUUAUAUUUUUGAUCCAUUUGCAUACUUCUGAAACAUAGGCUUUCUAGGGCCAAGAUAUGCUACUGAGAAUGAGGCAAUACUGCUCUUUUCAGUGAUUUUGUGUUAACAUAUUCAUUUCACUUUAAAUGGCCUUGUAUUGCCAGACUUGGUCAUUUUAAGUUUAUAAAUCUGAAAGUAGUUGUGUAUAUUUAAGGAUAUUUUAAUGUAAGUAAUUAUCAUCUGCCUAUCAGGAAGCUUCCCUGCCAUUUCACUUAUUUUAAACCACUCCCUACUAUUGCUUGAUGGUUUUCAUCUGCAUUUUAUGUACUGCCAGCUCCUGGGCCUUGUAAGCAUCACUGCUCUACAGGAUUAUAUCGACUUACUCCUUCGCAGGAUCUGAUCCAUACUUUCUAACUCUGUGGCAUGAUUUAGGCUAAAUUAUACCCUAUAAACUCAUUCUAGUUGGUAUUUUCUGCCUCUCAAGCUUCCAACAGGAAAGCUUGUAUUCAGGUUUCACAGCUGGACAACAAAGUACUUCCCCUGGGUACUAUGCCACUCUUUUAAAAACUAAAGCACAUGGACUAUGGAGGCCCAGCAUUUAAAUAGCAACAUUCGCUACCCUGGCUGAAGGAAAAAAGGUUAGCUCCAGCAGUAAUCUCACGCUGUAAAUUUGCUAGAGAAACAACAUGCUGGUAAAGUACACAUGAAACAAGAUUGUCAGCACUGAGCUGCUCGUUUCCUCCAGCCCCACUGGCAUUAUCAAUAGCGUAAGCACAACAUUCAUGGGAGCUCUUUGUGCUGGGAGGGAAGCCGCAGCUCCCCACCUCACAGCCGCCCCACAAGCUCAGCCCAAGCAGUGGGGCCAGCUCUGUCACCCUAAACAUGCAAUGUGCAUAUAUACAUGUGUCUAUAUAUGUAUAUAACCCACGGUGCCCCGUGGAGGCAGGCUCUCCAGUGGGAUGGCAGGUGGUGGCCCCCAAUGACAGACUCUUCUGCACGUUGCAGACGGGUUGGCCGGCUGCCUGGCAAUCCACUAGGACUGACACAUUUUGGGCAGAGCAGCGGUACAGAGGGAGCCAUGUGGCCGAUGUAUAUGUGUAUGUGUUCAAGAUGACAAGAGCCUAACCUAUGGCGUAGGAGGAAGUAAUUAAGAAAAAUCUCCUAAAUGCCAGGUGUCCACAUUUGGAUCUCCGCCUUACCUCUCUGUUUAUGGCUUCAGGUUUGACUCAGCAUAAGGAUGAAGUGUGGCAAUGUUGUAGUUUGGUCCCAUUCCAGUAUGAAUCCAGUGUAGAUACUCUCAACUGUCUUCUGGGAGGAACCUGUGUCUCCCUAAUGGCAACAUAAGGAGAAUUAGGAAGGUAAGCAGGUAGGUGUUUGAGAAAGUGCCACACUUGUAAUGCCUGUAGGUUGAAAAGUGUAACUAAAAAGAAGUCAAACCAUGAUUUAUGCUACCUCUAGCAUAAGACUGGACCAUAUUUAGCUCUUAGACACUGUUCUUUUGAACAACAGGACAGCUGUUGUUACUGAGUAAUGAUUAAUACAGCAAUUCACAGGAAUACAGUCUAACCUGAUUCAGACAAAUAACAGAAUGCAGUUAAUCUCCCUAAAUGCAUGCAGUAUAAAAGACAGAAAGCAGUAAAUACUUAAUGCAGACAAAUGAGAUUGGGAAAUUGGAUUGAAAAAGAAAUAACAGAAAAAGAAAUAAAACAAAAAUGUUUCCACUUCUCUAAACAAUAUCAGAUGGAAGGCCUAUAUCAUGGGAAACAUAGGUCACAAAUAGAGCAGCUGUAAUAGCAUACACAGAGCCUAACAAUGAUUAUGCAUAUUAAAUUUAAUUCAACACUUCAGAGAUUAGUAGUAAACAGGCCUAAUUCAGUUAUGUCUGAUGCAUACUACACACCCAUUCAUUUCACUGGGACUUCUAAAAAUAUUAGCCAUUAAUUGUACUUAUUUUGUGGAUGUGUUUGAUUUUUCAAUUUCUGUGUGGUUUAAGAGUGUCAUGCAAGGAUCAUACAGUGGGAAACAAAAUACAGUUGUUUGCUUUUUUGUCAGAGGACCAAUUGGCCAGUGUUCGUUCUUAAAAUAUAGAUUUGGUUUUAUUUAGCGGGAUUCAUAACGGACACAUAUGGAAUUCCUUGGGUACAUGCAGCAUAUAUGUUAGUCUAUACCUAAAGCACACAUACAAGUGAUCUUCCUAGCUCAUAGAUCAAGCGUAACUUGUUGCACGCUAUCUUUGAGUCACUUGUUGCAAAACUACAGACAUAACUACGCUCAUUGAAAGAAGAGGCACAAAGCUGGAUGAAAGUUACAGAUCUGCAGCCAGGGGAAAUUCCCACCUCCUGCAACCUAACAGCAAAAUACCCAUUUCACUGGGGCCAAGCCUCCUUGCAGGGUCAGCACAAGCAGACAGGCAGCAAAAAACAGCUUGUAGUGGCAGACUGGAAAAGGUAGCCCAGCAGAAGAGAAAGACUGUCUGGGCACAAGGGCUCUGAAUUUAGGUAGGGUACUGAGGCAAGCUGGUGCUCUAUUCAUUGGUACUCCAGCAAACACUACUGUGCUGGCCCUACAAUUAGCAUGGCUAUUGUUUUUUCAGUGAGCUUUCUGGAAGUUUUGUGUAUCUCAUGCUUCUGCUGAAAUCCCUGCUUAUUUUACAGGGGUGAACCCCAAAUCCCUUCGAGUUUGACAGCUUUGAGCUAAUGAGAGAAAAUUCCAGUUUCUAGUAGCAAGGUGAAGGGGAAAAAGGAAAGUGGAAGUAGAGACAAGGAGAAGAAAGGAACUCAGUUAUAAAUAAUGAAGCAUUUGCCAAGAGUGUGGUAAACAGUAUGGUAUAUUAAAAAGUAGUUAAAUUAAUUAUACCAGGCUUAAAACUUUAAAUAAAAUGAAUCUGAUUUAAAACAGCCAGAAGUCAGGAAACUCAGGCUUAAGAAUGGGAUCCUUUUAAAGUCAUUUUAUUCUAGCUUGGUUUAUCAGCAUAUUUACCAGGAGCUAAUGUAACCUAUGCAAAUCUUACACAUCAUGAAAACUCAAGCAGUUCUGCCAAGAGUUGGUGAUAAGUUGCUGUAACAGCAGCUUGGGGUUUGAGAAAUGUACUUUCCUUCACACUCAUGGUAACGAGUGACCUGGUGGUAAUGACAUCAUUAACACAUUUCACCUUUUUAUGCUCUCCCGCUGGUAUUUUACUUAUACCGGUUUAUGGGGGAAUCAUUUCAUUUUGGUGUUUGAACUCCCUUGUACUGGUAGUGGUGCUUUUAAGAAAAUAAAGAUAGAAGCGAGAGGAGAUUGUCCUCUGUGAUAUGUGAUUUGGGAGGAAUCCAUCUGAUUCUAUCAGCAGAUUCAAUCUUGUAUGAAAAAUAACCUGGAAAUUUUUAUAGCAAAUCAGGUAAGAUUGUGAUUGUUUUCCCUUCAGGAAUAGGCAAUACCCUUUUUUAAUAACCAGUUAUUAGGUACUUGUCAAGUUUUCUAAGAGCUUCUCCACAUGUGUUUGCAUUUUUAUGCAAGGUAGGUAUGUAUACUGAAAACAAACAAAACAACAGACUGAAUAGUUCCUCCGUUCAUUACGUGACAUAGUCCUUAAUGAUUCUUAAUUCUAGCUAUGCUUGAAGCAGUAUCUUUUGUUCUGGUUGUUGCUAUGUCUCAAUGUACUUCUCUACGUACUCCUUCAGGUAAUGAAAAUAUUAUUACAUCCAUUGUUUCUCUCUUUUUUUCAAAAGCUAUCUUUCUGACACUUUUUUUUCUUGUGAACGGAAAAGAAUCUAAAACCACGACCCCCUAUUUAACAAUUGCAGUUUAAUAACAUCCUAUACCUGCAUUUGUUUACUAAAGCAUUUGUCAUUAACAUAUUGCUUCCUGCAUCGACAAUGUGAAAGCAAACCUAUUAAACCCCAGAAGUUGGGGGAGGGGGAGAAGAAAAAAAGAUAACAGCAGCAAACACUACAGUACGCUGGAGCGUAUGGGGCAGAUCCUAUCUCCACUGUCAUCAGUCAGACGUUUAUCGCUGAAUUCGGAAGGACCGCCUAUUGAAAAAGGGUUUCAGAAUGGGAAUUUGUGCUCGAUUUCAAAACAAAGCUAAGUAUUUGACACCUUUAUUAUACUCCAAGUGCUCCGCUAACACAACAGUACGGGAAAGAACUCGAGAAAGGAGAAGUAAUUGCUGUCUUCAGCUACCUGAUGGAAGGUUGCAGAGGUGGAGCCAGACUCUUCUCUGAGGUGAAACACAAAAGACAGGAGGCAAGGGACUUAAGGUACAACAAAGAAAAUUCCGAAGAGACAUUAGGAAAAUCUGAUUGUCACGGCAGUCAAAAAUUGAAGCGUUGUCUGGCUGUUCAGUCUCCCAUCCUUGAAAACAUUCAGAACUUGGCUACAUGCGACUCUGAGCAACCUUUUUUCUUUUUUCUGUCCUCCAAAAAUGGUAAGGAAUAAAGGUUCUGUUUAUGGAA
Molecule: long non-coding RNA, 6284 nt
Organism: Numida meleagris (helmeted guineafowl)
Lineage: Eukaryota; Metazoa; Chordata; Aves; Galliformes; Numididae
Exons: 4
Source: RefSeq, a predicted model, not a curated record